RNAcentral lists this ribosomal RNA (697 nucleotides) under uncultured archaeon. RNAcentral describes it as "bacterial SSU rRNA". It matches the Rfam family "Archaeal small subunit ribosomal RNA", at positions 1 to 679 of the family's 1478-position model. The record is from RNAcentral.
UUCCGGUUGAUCCUGCCGGACCCCACUGCUAUCGAGGUGGGACUAAGCCAUGCUAGUUGAGCGCACAGAACUAUGUCUGUGAGCGGCACACUGCUCAGUAACACGUAGCUAACCUACCCUUAGGACGUGGACAACCCCGAGAAAUUGGGGCUAAUCCGCGAUAGAUGUAUUGUCCUGGAAUGGUAUUACGUCUAAAGGUAUCCCAUACAUGUUUGGUAUAUGCCUAAGGAUGGGGCUGCGGCCGAUCAGGCUGUUGGUGAGGUAAUGGCUCACCAAACCUUUGACCGGUACGGGCCAUGAGAGUGGUAGCCCGGAGAUGGACACUGAGACAAGGGUCCAGGCCCUACGGGGCGCAGCAGGCGCGAAACCUCCUCAAUGCACUUACGUGCGAAGGGGCUACCUCGAGUGCCACCUGAUGAAGGUGGCUUUUCCUAGGUCUAAAAAGCCUUGGGAAUAAGAGGGGGGCAAGACUGGUGUCAGCCGCCGCGGUAACACCAGCCCCUCGAGUGGUGGGGAUGAUUAUUGGGCCUAAAGCGUCCGUAGCCUGCCGUGUAAGUUUCCCGUUAAAUCCAGCGUCUCAAGCGUUGGACCGCGGGAAAUACUGUACGGCUAGAGAGUGGGAGAGGUCAGCGGUAUUCUGGGGGUAGGGGCGAAAUCCUUUGAUCCCCGGAGGACCACCAGUGGCGAAGGCUGCUGA